UCUCCACCAGGCUGGGAUCGAGCCUGUCCUGUGUGUAGGUACUGUGCAAGGAAGUAAACCCACAAGCAGUAACAGAUCAGCAAUGGGGGUAUAGUUCUUGCGACACACAGGACAACAGAAAACAGGAAGCAGGACGGGUCAUCCACCGCCUCUGAGGGCAACAUGUUCCAGCUCUUUUGUUGCAAAAUACUUCUUAUAUCCAAUCAAAAUCUCCUCUCUUUUAGUUUGAAACCAUUUCCCCUUGUGCUGUCACAAUGGAUCCUGCUCAGCAGUCUUUUCCAGCUUCUCGUCCACCAGGACCCCCAAGUUCUUCUCUGCAGGGCUGCUCUUUUGGCUGAGGAAAUCUCUCACCUAUUGCAGCUGCUCCCUGAGAAGUGACGUGGUGGGUUGGCCAUGAACAAACACCAGCUGCAAACAGACUUCAGUUCAUGUACAUCCUCCAGGAAGGAGCCAGAAAACACAAGUGCACCAGAAAUUAGAUGAAGAAGGUUGGAGUUUUUGAGCAACAACUUCUACCAGCCUUCCGGACUCUCCCUGCAUAGACCAGCACUAUGGAGCUCCAGGAGCUUCUCUGGUACAUUCAUAGAUUCCAUCCAAGUAUCAGGAGGUAAUUACAGGGGAAAAAUAGUGGUCCCUGUUACACUCGUGGAUGGUUUCUAUUUUUCUAAGUCAACUAUUGAGCUAACAUGCCAGUUUCCAUCUGUAAUCUAGACAGUGGCUGACUGUCGCAGAGGUGCAACUUAAUGCAGCCCGACAGGCAUCCUUUGGGGUGAUUUAUGGGAAGAGUAGCCAAGGCACAGUGAUUAAUUGGUCUAAGUGGAGAGAGAGCUGUAAACAAAUCUCCUUGGCUCCUACUCAGCAAGAAGCUCUCUCAGACUUUUUAGGGUUUUAAUUUUAAUUAUUUUUAGAUCAUUUUCUUAAUCAGAUCCAAAUGGUAUCAGCAAUCUAAAUUCUGACAUUUGAGGUUUAGGUUAGGACUGAUCACCUCUGUAACAUUUGCACUAAGAUAAUGAACAGUUUGUGGAUCACUGAGGGUCUGCUCUGUGCCCUGGCAUUACAUUUCUGGGGUAGGUAAGACCCUGUGAGCCCUUUUGCACCCUGUGAUGUCUCAUUGUGGUAUCAAGCAAGUGUUUUAUUGCAGGUUUAUUUUGAUUAGCAGGCUAGGAGUCCAAGGCUGCGUUAAUGUUAAUGUGAGCAUCUCAUUGAUUCAGUCUUCAGGGCUGCAAAUUUUAAGCAUGAGGAAGAGCAAGCAUUAAAGCCACUGGUAUUUAAGGGAGCUCAAAUCCAAACUCAAUCUGAAGCUGGAGAAACAAUCUUUGGUCUCUAAGUGAGUACUGAGAUCAAUUCACAAGUUCCCCUCUUACUAUAAUUUCUAGAGGAUUCAACCUUUCCCCUCCUUCACUGUCCUCAGCCCUUAUACCUGUCAUGAUCUGAAUCUUAGAAAAAACAAAUACUUGCUUCAUGUAAGGGUAAAGUGCUUGGUUAUCUCUUUCCACCAUUAACUAUCCUAGCAAGCCUUGGAUUUUUCUUACAUGAUACUACUUUAUUAUGGUUCCUAUUGAGAAGGAUCCCUAUCAUCAGACUGUUCACAGGAGAACAUCUAUAGAAGUUUAGAGAUUUUGCAGAAAUUCAAGAAAUUUAUCUAAGUAAGUGCUUCCCCUUUAGGAUGCUUAGCAAAUAGAAGCAUAACUGUUCAAAUCCAUCCAAAUUCUGUAUUUACUUUGUUGUUAUUUGAAAAUCUAAUAAGUGGGCUCACAGCAAUUUCCUAGUGUUCCCGCUACCACUGCUUACAUUUUUGUUUCUAUUCAUUUAGCCUCAGAAACCAGUGAACCGUUCCGACAGCUCUGACUACAAUUUCUCAUCUUCUUGUGUAGGAGCCUUUUGGGGUUUGCAGCCAGGAGCUGAUUUCAAGGAAGACCAGUACAGCACCGCAUCAAGGAUCUCACUGGUUUUCUACCAUGUGCUGUGAUCAUAUGGCAGGGCCACCUGUCUGUGAGUGGGUGGGUGAGUGAGUGACCACGCCAGGCCAUCCGCCCAUGGAGAUCUUCAUCCCAUAAACUGGCAUUUGCCCACUGUCCCUGAGUCUGCUUGGAUGGACACAGACCAACUCCCACGUGUUCUCAUUGAAUCAUGCCUCCAGAACGAGUCCUUGGCAACCUUCACAGAUCCCUUUUCUAUUCCAGCUCACUCUUCUUUUUCUACUUUUGAAGGCAUUUCAGAUAAGUAGGUUCAAAAAGAAUACACAGAACAACAUGCAGAGCAAUGACCCCAGAACAGCCUGUGGAGUAGGAGAAAAAAAAAAAAACAACAAAAAAGGUAAAGAAGUGUCUGAGCACAACAGAUUUCCACCCUCCAACUCUCUUCUCAGCUUGUACCUCCUGUAAAUCCUUUUGUACCUGCAUCAUAGAAGCACCAAGAUGCCCCAGCUGGCAUCACAGCCCUUUUGCAGAAAGGAUCGUACAACAAGUAGUGAAAGAGUAAAUGAGACGGUGAAUGUACUCAGAUUAAAGGCAAGAUCCACGCUGUCUUCUGUCUUCUUCGGGGCUCACUGCAACAGAAAUGACAGGUCUUUGAGAAGGAUGAGGGAUGGAACAGAAAAAAAGGGUUCAUGUGAGCCUUGGUGUCAAUAGAAGAAUUGACAGGAAAUCAACGUUUCAUGUGAGCCUUAUUUGCUUGUCUAUGGAGGGCAGAAAGGAGUAAGCUCUUGGGUAUUUUCAGGAUGAACACUUUUGACUUCAGGUUCUUGGAACUUCAGCCAGCUCCGUUGCAUCCAAACUCAACAAUGUGUGUAAGACCUGCAGUUGCCAAUCUUGUAUUUACUCUGCGGCAAACGAAUGAUUUCCUGUUGAAACCACAGGAGCCAUCACUUGAAAAAGCAUCAGCGUUUUUGCCUUUGGACAUUUAAGUUCUCACUUACAAAGAAUGGCCAGUAGCCAAAGACCUGUUGUGUCACCUGUUAAAAAACAGUUGCUUUCCCUUCCCAUUGUUCAGUUAUAGAGUUCUACUAAACCUUCCAUUCCACGCAGCCUUAGCAAACUUGCUCCAGGAAAGCAUUUGACCACCAGGAUCUUUGGCUAAAUGAGAAAGUCCUUCUGUACUCCCACUCAGCCAAAACAUAACCAAACAAAACCAACCCAAACAUCAUUAGUGCUCUAACAGUUUUUAAACAAAUGUUUCAUAUUGCCUAAAUCUCACCUUACAGAGUGCUUUCUCAUGCCCAGGAUGUGCUUGGUGUUCUUCCUGGCUAUCAGAGUUAUCACUCCUUUCCAGCAGCCAGCACUGAGGUGCCACAAGACCCAAGAAACGUGAAGCUUGGCUUUUACAAAGAGUGCCAAUCAAAUGACCAACUGGAAGAGAUGUUUAAGUUGUUGGCAGAAUUCCUCUCUCUUCAUUAGCUUCCCUGUGGCGAGUUUGACAUCCACAUAAUGCACCCGCACACCACCAAACGGCUUCCACGUAACUUGUGCAAUUUUUUUUUCCUGAAGAAAUGAAAAGAAAGGGAAAAAGAGGCUUUUGUAUCUUUUUCUCCUUUAAGUACUUGUGAGACAUGUAGCUGCAGGAAUUCUCCAGAUGAUCCCCGAAGGCAGUAACAAAAAGGAGACAAUAAACAUUUUUCCUUUAUUAAAAAAAAGUAAUAGUUUUCAUUAAUUCCAAGAAUACUGGAAGUCAGAGUACAAGAACUAUCCCUUGUUCCCACACGCAAUCAGACACUGGAACAAUAGAUUUAAUUGCAGUAGAGGGUAUGAAUGUGAAUAAAUAAAGUUAUCUGUCAUUUUGCAGUCAGAAUGACUUGCUUGUCCCUAGAAGAUUUUCAGUCCUGUUAGUCUAACACUGAAGACUUAAAAAAAAACAAACAAACACAACCACAAACAAAACCUUCAUUCGGGUAUUUUUAACAGGAUUAGAUUAAAACAAACCAAUUUUAGUAGUGAUGAGCCAAAUGAGAGUGAAUUCUGCAGGUUACAGUACGGGUCCAUUCUGACCCAGACCAUUCAGUGAUUCUACAAUUUUCUAAAUUAAAUUAAAUUAAAUUUUCUAAAUUCUAAAAUAUUUGAGAGUAUAUGGACUACUACAAAGAACAGUGAAUCUGCAGAUAGUAAACAGGGACCUUUACUGUAUUGUCCCAUUGAAGGAGGAUCAAUGGAAGUCUUGUCCAGAAUCCCUCUGAAUUGUGAAAGCUAAGGUGGAACAGAGAGGAUAGAGUAUAUAUGUAUACACAUAUAAUUCACUCCUUAAAAAACAGCUCAGGCCUCAGCUUCAGUGGAUUGAGCAGUGAGAAAUGCUGCAUCCACAUUUUAAAGAGGUUGAGUGUAAUGCCAGAAAUCAUGGUCUGCUGGGGUUUAUACCUUGACUGUGCAAGAUGAUUGAUGUUAUAAUAAGAAGUUAAUUACCAAAACAACUGGAAGGUCACGAGCUCCAAAUUUCAGCUCUGUAACAUUGCUGCAGAAGUGAGAAUCUGAAUUUUGUUAACAUCACUGAACAUUCCAGUAGUGGCUGCUGUCCUAUUACGUCCAUAACACAACUGUGGUGACAGAUGUUGCCAGCUGCAUGAAUUGGAGACGUGGCCCAUUGGAGGAGGACGAGUUUCUUUGGAAGUCUGAGUGGCCUCAGAGAAAAAAAAGCCAAAACUGACAUUCUACAUCUCUCCUUUUUCAAUGUGUGAGAAAAGAACCGAAAGAUAGAAGAGAGUAGGGGAGAAACUCUACCAGACUCCUAGAUUUGUCUGGUCAUCAAAGAGAAAGAAAAAGUAAAUUCAUUUUCUGUUCUUCUCUGGUUUUUAAAUUAAUUUGUACCCCGUGAAAUAGGGAGGUGAAAUUAAUCUCACCUCCCUAUAGAAGUCUUCAUAUUUAAUGUUUAAAUGUGAGCUGGUGUCUGGAGGCUUCUUUCAUAUUCAUGGCAGAAACUUCUAUUUUUAGCAGUGCCCGACUCCUUUUGAAUGGAGAGUUGGGCAACAAGAUGCUCCAGAAAAUACCUCUCGGUGAUGGCUGUGGUCUUCACCUUCUGCUCUUGUUUCUGAGCUGUGUAUAGUGGCCUAUCUACGGCAUCAGCCCUUUGUGCAUCAUGAAGAGCAUUUUGUUCUAAGUGAUCACAGCAGUUGCCAAAACUUUUUGCUAAUCACCUCUGGAAUAAGUUCAUGAAAUGUUUUAUCUUUUUAAAAUCACAUCAGUUUAUGCAACAGAUAAAUGCAACAAGCUAACAGAAUCUUCCUGAGUGAAAAUCAGCUUCUCUUUAGCUUGCCUUUCCUUUUAUCCUUGAUCAGAGAGAGGCUUUUUAUACUGAGAGGGAUUUUUUGUCCUUCAUAUGUUUGCACAAAGAGUCUUCCUAGACAGGAGAAAGCAAAACAGAAUAAAACAAAGUGUGUGUCAGUGUGUGCAGCGUAUGGUUUGUAGGAAAAUAAUGCACUUGGGGUGAUAUUUUCCAGUGCUCAUGGGCUGAUCAGUGUGCCCAGAAAGGAUGCUUUUCCUGGGUGUAUUCAGGCAUGCAGUGCUAUUUGCUUGGUCGGAGGAGGCCAGUGGGUCUGACUUGGUUCAGAGAGCUGCUUUAGGAGUUAUAGAGAUGAAAGUAUUUGCACAAAGCCAAGCAUCCAAGUGCUAAACACCUUGUACACACUGCUCAUUUCUCAGCAUCCCACACAGCUACAGCAUACUUGCUAAAGGGCAGAGUGCACUUUGCUUCCACUCUCAGUGCUGAGGCGUGGGUCAUCGGGUUAUUGGGGUGCUUCAUUACCCUUCAGAUAAAAGAAGCCUGAAUAUCUUGUCGUCUCCAAGGAUCACGUCUGGGAACAACAAAAGGGAUAUUGCUCCUUGGGAGGAAAUUAAAACUAAUCAGUCUCUCCUUGCCCUGCGCUGCCACCUCCAGCAGAUCUGAGAGCACUCAGCUCCUGACCUCACUGAGCUGAGCUGGGUGCAGAGGAACUGCUCUGCUCCAAUAUAGGGCUGUACUAUGGGGCCCAUCCUGCCCAAACUGCUCUGUGGGUCUCCAUGGGUGGCAGCUCCCCCAGCUGCUGCACUAUGGGCUCCUCUAUGGCUGCACAUAGAGAUCUGCUUUGUGUGAUGCCCCUGGGUGCAGGGGGACAGCCUGCCCCUCCAUGGCUCAGUCCUGCCCAGCACUGGGUCCCUUUUGGAGCAUCUGGAGUUGUCUCUGAUCUGGGGCAGUCCCCCACUCCCAAAAUCUUGCCAUGUCAUCCCUAUACACUGCCAAGUGGGGUGUGAACCUCUCUCUGAGGAUGCCCCAAAAGAACCAAUUGCCACAGCAGUGCUAGGUAAGGUGUGGAUGAGACAUUUCACUUUGUUCCUGGAAGAAGCAGGCUCCCUGCAGGUGGGUAACUGCUGCCUUGGAGACAGGUGGAAAUACAGUGACAGCACAGAGGGUGAGAGCUCGUCUGAGGAGCAGCGGUGGAUCUGCUGUCAAAUAGGUUUUGUUCAAGACUUAUUUGCUGUGUUCUGCAUUCAAAUACCAACCAUGCUGGGGUCUCCAAAGGAAUUUCAAGGGUUUAUGCUGUUUAUAACCUUGUCUGGAGGCAUAAAUGUUCACUUCAAUGAGAAAUAGCGCUGACUUUCCUUUUGGUUGGCCACUGUUAACGCCACAUGAAGUAGCCCAAAGGAUUCAGCCACGGUAACAUGCUAUGAAUUCCCCUUAAGGCCAAGGUCUGUGCUGCCAAACUGUGGGAAGCAGAGCAGUGUGGCUGUGUGCUGCCUCUGCCUCCUCUUAAAAACCCUCCAAAAACCUGAAUCAUUUUACACCACAAAACUUGCAGUUUCCUUCUCCACUCCCAUUCUAGAUAUCCAGCAAUCCCCUGUGCCAGCGCUGCCUUGCACUUCACAUCUGCUGCUCUCCUCCUGUCUGUUUAAUAUUCACCCCAAGCACUGAGCACCCUUCCUUAAUGCACCUGCAGUCAUUGGCAGUGGGUGAGCAGCUGAGGAGAGAGAAAAAUCACAGCCCUGCACCUCCUGACACCGUGUGAGGGGCUCCAUAUGCUCUGUGCUCACUGGAAGAUAUGAAACUGGCAUUGCAUCAAAACUGUCCUCCCCACCUUUGAAAGCAGGUCUGCAUCUAAAGCGUGGCACGACGUGACCAUCAGCUUGGUGUAGGGCUCUGCUUUUCCCCUUUAAGACUGGCUGGCAGGAGCACUGGGAAUCUAUAGGGCAGGGUAGAAGGCUCUAUGAGGGCAUCAUGGGGUGAUCACAUUCAUUUUCAUGAAAGUCUAUGUGCUGCAAGCUCUUCUGGGGUGGAAAUGGCUGUUUGUUCUAGACGGUCCAUGUGUGAAGGGCACGCUGAUGUUCAGAGCUUCCCUUCUUCUUUCCCUUCCCAUCCCUCUGACCAGCAGGUUACUUUGAUAACAAAGAGAUUUCCACCUUUCACAGCCAGCUCAGGGACUGGGCAGGACGUAAUACCCAAACGAAGUAGUAAAUAUUCCAUUUCCAACAAAGAGGCUGGGGCACUGUUAUCCUGUAGUCAAGGGUACAGCAGGUGGAGGAAUGUUUCCCUUCAUUUCCAGAGCAAACCUCUUGGAGCUGCUCCCAGCCUCACGUGGGCAUUGCAGAGGUGCUUCUCCACUGAUGGAGGUGCUGGUUAGGCUGAGGAACUACAGUGGUGCCAGGGGGAUGUGGAGAAAGGCCCCAUCUGUUUUGCUUUUGAGGUGGUUAGGGGAAACCUUGGACUUGCCCAGCAUGGGAAGUUGCAUUGAGGCUGCAUGGCUGAUUCUGGUUGCAUGCAGGAGAAGCAGUGAGAUCCAAUGAACUGAAAUUGCAGCUCUUGGAUGCAGGCCAUGAACAGGCAGUAAAUACACCAACAUAUUCUGAAUGGACCAACCUGUUCAGCUCCUUCCGUACUGCCCCGACCUACUUGCACCCUCAUUUUCCUGUACAAGUGAGGUCAUAUUUACACCUUCUUCCAAUCUAUGAGCAAUUAGCAAAUAUUGGGCUGUUUGAACCACACAUUGAUUUCUUCUUCUCUUUUUCAUGGAAAUAUUGAGUGUCACCAAGCCAGGUUCAUUACCAAGGGAUGAAUACUUAAUAUCACCAUUUGCAGUGAACCACAUGUUGCAGUCAAAAAAGACAUCGAUGUGAUUUAUUUUAAUUAUAUUUAUUUCCUUGUAAUUUCUUAUUCAUCGAGUCCUUUAUCAGCUAUUCCAAGGAUCAAUUUCCAGCUGUAAAUCAGUAACAGUAUUAGCCUUAGGAACACUUGGCUCCAUGCGCCCUUUUAAAGCACUAGCACAGCUUCAGCUCUCAUCCAGUCCUCUGUGCUCAGGUGUUAGAGAAACUAGCAGCAAUUUAAACAGCUCUUUGGCCACCUCCCUUAAAGUCAAGGCCCAUUCUGGCAGGUUGGUGAUGUUCAGCAUAUUGCAAUGGGGACAUGGAUUUUGCCAGGAGUGUUUUACCACAUGGAGCAUUCAUGGCACCCACGUUACGAUCCCUGUGUGUUUGCUGUCUGCUCUGUGGGUACAGUAAUGGAUACAAGGGGAAGAAGGUUGACAUGCCCCUCAUGCACAAAGCAGCCUAAAUCACUACUUUACAACAAUCCCUUUGACACUUUGUCAGUUGCACCUCACCGCAGCUACUGCAGGAACUAACAGUCAUUAAUUACCUUUGUCAGCUGACAUUGCCUUAAUUGUCUGCAGCUUUACUUCCACGAACCCACCAGUUUGAGCUGUCAGAGCCAGUUUAAAGGCUGCAGCUCUCAGAGGUAAUCUAUGGGAAAAAUCCAGGUGAGUUAAUGGAAAGUGAAGUCACCUGGCUGUGUGGGAUCCGUGCACAUCCCAACAUCACCUGAGUGCCCUGCUUUCAUUGGGGAGCACAGCAGGAAGAUGCUCAGCCAACCACCAUGUAAUUUGAGGGAGUUCUUUUAUGUCCUUUCCCUAAAAUACCCAGAAGUGGGGCAGCGUGCUGCCUGGAGAGCCAUUGCUCCCUGGACCUUGACCAGCAUCACAUUGAGCAGGCAGCACACAGCACUGCAUGGCCGCUGCAUCCAGCAGCUCCAUGCAGAUGUUUGUCAAGCUGUCAGGGCACUGAGAAGGAAAUGAAUUAAUCGGAGGUGUAGUAGGUGAGUUCAAUCUUUUCUGCAAGUAUUAUACAGCUAUUAAAAUUGCAUAGGAAAGUCAAUAGCGAUGGGUAAUAAAGUUCUUCUGAGAAAUUCAAUAGGAGCCCAAUUUUUAAUGCAGCUUGGUAUUCAAAGCAGAGCGUUCCACAUCCAGCUACGUGAUAAACAUUUACUAAUUAAUCCUCACAAACCCUCAGCAAGGUGGAUCUCUUCACAUCGCUGACUCUGUUUAAUAAACGGGAACAAGAAGGUACAAGACACAUCCUUUGAAGCUGGGGUUAUAGAUGUCUUUAAACAAGGGCUGGGUCUCUGGGAGCCUGUUCAGUACAUGUAUCUGAAUUGCUUUCUGUGAAAAGCCUCAGAGCUGGGAUCAGAAGUCAAGGUUUCUUUAUGCUCCUUCACAUGCUCUGAUCACAGCCACAUUUUUUGAUGUAAAUCUUCAGCACAGUCUCUGAAAUACUGAUAUUUUUUUUCCUGUGUUAUCACAUUACAUUGUGGGGAUGGUAUUUAGAAGAAAAGCCAAUGGUCUUAAGCCUCAAGCUGUAGGAAUUGGCCCAUAAUGGAGCCUCUAAUUACAUACAGAAUCAGAGGAAUGAGACUCAGGAAGCUGAGUUGGAAGCUGCUAUUUGCAGAAGAUCAGUAAGGAUUAUAUGGGCUGUGGGUUGUCACAUAGAUGCGGAUGCAGUUUGUGCCAGGACAAUGGACUACCUGCAACUAUGGACAACUUAGAAACAUUUAGUGUCAUCUUAUAAUUCUCUUCAGUCUCCUCAUUGCCCCUUAUAGCAUGAA
This is a long non-coding RNA of Coturnix japonica (Japanese quail), 9828 nucleotides long. RefSeq lists it as uncharacterized. The record is from RefSeq and is a predicted model, not a curated record. Lineage: Eukaryota; Metazoa; Chordata; Aves; Galliformes; Phasianidae.